GUUCUCGCGAUCUACACGGUGUUGAUAUAUUCCGGAACCAGGAAAAGUUAUAAGAAUCGUCGAAUCGUUUAAGAAACAAUUUUACUACACGCCUCCUCGUAUCGUGAUUUUAUAAUUUUACAAUCGAACGGAACGACUCGUUGCUUUGCAAUGAAAUAGAAUACAAAGUCGAUGAUGAACGAGAUGAAGGAAAUUUCUCCACGAAACCCUUAACAAUAUUAUUAACACCGUGUACGUAACCGGUGACCGGCUUUUAUUUUUUAAGGGUGUUCCAUUUCGAAGGGAGAGCGAUCCUCCCGUUUUCUCCGUUUUUAUACCGUUCGGGCCGUUCGACGAAAUUGGAAAUAUCGAUGGAAAGCAAGAGAGAGAGAAAAAAUCCCUCGAGCCUUCCUCUCCCCGUUGCUCGAAGAGGGAAACGUCGAAGAGAAGCCGGUCCGAGAUGCCGGAAAUGCGAUGGGGCGGGGCGCGAAUACCGGGUCAAAAAGAAUAAUUAAACGAAGGGUGGGAGGGGGUUGAGCCAGUACACCGGGGUGGUGAUCAGCUAUGCCGUAUUCCUGUUUCUCUAAUUGAGAUUUAUCGCGAGCCGGCUCGUUGCGUGUAGAUGAAGCGUCGAUUGUCUAGCCAUCGUCGCAAAUUACGUUGGGCUCGAUAUAUAUAUGUAUAUACAUCUUUUCUCGUUUUUUUCCAAGUGAGAACAACAGGGACAGACGGAUAGUCGCGUGACGAAAAUGUAGAACUCUGCCCGUUUCCUUUCUCUAAUGGCAGAUGACGAGAAACUCGCGAAAUUCGGAGGAUUAUUAAUCAUUCUUUCGUGUUAAAUUUUCUUAUAAAUAAAUGAUCUUUGUUAUAUUUAUAUAUUUGAUCUUUUGCUCGAGGAAACUCUCUUUCCUCGAGUCGAUCGAUAUUCCAAAUCUCCAAGUUUCGAGAUAAUUCAUCGAUAAUUGUUUGCCAAUGAUAAUAACUGGCAAUAUAGCAACUAAAAAUUCUUCGAUGUAGAAGAAACAAAGAGACAGAGUCCACUACUCGUUUGCUUUUCAAAUAUAGACUAGUCGAGAAGCAUGCACAAAUAUCGCAGCACAAUCGCAAAAGUCGCUCGCUUUAUAAAUUUGCUUAUAAAAAUUAUCGUUCUUUAGUAAUAGCCGCAUUUCCAUAAUCCAUAUUUAUCGUCGAAUCACGUUUCUUUUUCCUUUUUUUUUUUUUUUCGUUUCGAUCACGGUAUCGGUGUAUUUUUAAACCACCGUUAAAUUUUUUCCCCUUUAAAUGUAAAUCGAUCAAUCGAUACUACAAAAUUCCUUUCGUUCGAGAUGUUACGUAAACAGAAUCGUCUCGUUUUUUUCUUAUAAUCGCUCGAUCGCGUGCCACGCAUACGCGCGCACGCGCAUGUGUGCACGGUUCAUUCCAGUUCGUAAACACACACGGAGGGAGAGAGAGAGAGAGACGACAACACGUAGAGAGACAGAUUCGAGGAAAGUCGAAUAUAAACAAACGUUCGUACGUACGCGUUCGUUGGACAACACGACGCGACGCGACGACGACAACAAACGGGUGAAAGGCGUAGUAACGCUUUGGAUUAAUCGAUCGCGGCACGUUCCUCGAGACGGACGCCGAAUUCACCUCGCCUCGAUUUCUCGAUCUUCUUCUCUCUACGCGGGUAUGUAUAUUAUUUCGUUGGACGAAAUUCGUUUUCGCGAUGGAUGAAUGGACGGAUGGACGGAUGGCGCUUCGAUAAUUAAUUGGAAGUUAAUAGAUUUCGCGAAUUUCACGAAAUUGAACGGGGACGGGGGAAAAGAUCGAAUCAAAGUCGGAAUUUAACGGCGGAAAAGAGCGACGAUCGCGGAACGGUUUGCCUAUUUUCGGCAAUUUCCGAUUCGUAAAUUGCUGUUCGUGCUCGAGCGACAAACUAGUUUUGUCUCUCCGCAAUGGACACGCGCGCGCGCGCGCGCAAUCCUCGCAAUCCUCCCCCGUUUACCAUUCGUUUCAUCGAAUAUGAUAAUAGUAUAGCUAUUACACCCGCCGAUUUUCUUCCUUCCAAACACGACGUUUUUACAAAUUUCUGCGUAUUUAAUUUUUUCCACGGAGGGAAACGUGGCAAAUAUUUGGCCGAUAGUUUAUAUUUGCCACAUUUCUUAUUCCGCGUGUUACGCGCUAUAACAACUUGUCGUCCGAUGUUUUCGUCGAAAUAUGGGAUAAUAACAGUCUACCUCGUCCGAGAACUUUCUUUAUCAAUAUUGAAUCGCGUAUCCCACGUACAGUUUCAACUUUCUUCUCUCUCUCUCUCUUUAUUCUCGAUUUGUUGAUUUUCCAAGAGACGUUGUAAAUACGUUGUAUUUAAUAUUUCGUUAAAUCGUAAAAUAUCACGCGUUGAAUCGAUAUUCGAUCGAAACUUCCGCUUUCUCUUUUCGGUGAAAAAAGGAAGAGAGAGAGAGAGAGAGAAGGGAGAACGAAAAAGCAAGGCGACGAAAACCACGAUGAGAUAUACAUCCCACUUCGGAGUCGGUUCGUUUUCCUGAAAGGAAGGAAACAAGGAUGUGGGAAAUAUCCCGAUAACCGUUUCGAGAUACGUAUCGCCGGUUGAAAGCCCGUCACGGUGGAAAAAAAAGAUAUACGAUAGUUGAUAUACUCGCGUGACGUGGUCCUUAAACAUUGUUCACAGGUUUACGAGAGUGGAGGCGCGUGUCCGAGUUACGCACGGGGCACCGAGACUUGUAACGUAAUUACACGUAAGUUGAAUGCGAUAAUGCGUUGCACCCUAAGUGCAUAUAUAUAUAAAAAACGCGAUAAUCGUUUUAACAAAUAUUUAUACGCGGUUAUCGCGAAGAGUACGAUAUUUCUCUUUCACUCGUGAUACAUAUUUAAUAAUUAAGAAAAUUGAAAUCGUUUUAUUAUCUCCAAUUUGAAGCCGUUUAUUUAUUUAAAUAAGACGCUUCUUUUCGAUCGAACAAUGCAAACCCUUUUUACGUAUAUGUAUGUAUACGUUUCGGGGAAACGUGACUAAAAAAAGAUGUUCGAAUUCUUGGUAUCGGAGAAGAAAAAAAUUCGACUUGGCCGCGUAUCCACCUGUCCCCGCCGGUUAUUCCACGGCCGUCGUAUGAAUAUUUAUAUAUUUCGUACAAUGUCGUAAUUUAAUGAAUCGUAAAUGCAACUAUCCGGACCCGGCGUCGUCGCCGUCGCCGCUUCGACGACACGGCGAGAGCCAUCCCGGCCGGGUCGGCGCUGCUGCUGCCGGCCUUUACGAUCGCGUCGUUCGUUCCGCCGUAAAAAUACGAGUCAACGCGCAAAACGACACGAUGUUAAACAGAAUAAUUAUUAUACGAAUGUUUACGCACGUGUACCGAUAUUAUUGUUUUACCCGCUAUUUUAAUGAUACGCAAAUGAAAAUGAUACCGGCCGGCCGAUUCCAACACCGCGGGGGCUCCUCCGCCAAUAACUUCUUCCCGCGCUUCGAUAAUCGUUAAUUAACGAUCGUUACGAAAAAUAUUUACCUUCUUAUCGCGUGUCUUACGUAUCCUCCCGCUAGAGUUUCCGUCAUCGUCCAUCAACCGUCGUUUCCGAUAUCGGUGUAAGAGAGAGCGAUGCAAAUCGAUACACGAUCUUACUUUUCUCCCUUUUUUUUUUUUCGAAUCACGAUAAGGAAGAAAUACUAUAUAUAAAAUUCGUGUGCGAAUAUUUCCCUUUUCCACUUUCGACCCACUUGGAAAAGAAGGAGAAAGAAAAAGAAAAGGGAGGAAUAGCGGAGAGAGAGAGGGUUAAGAGGGGGAGGGGUCUACUUUCCGGCCGUCCGGUAAAUAUCGAAUCAAUUAGCAUAACGUUUUGGGCCAGGCAAAAGGCAGUAAUUGUUCGGAUGUAAACCGAUAUCUGCUUCUCGCAGCGCAUCACUGCAAAUGCAUUCUCCCAUUCCCGCGAGUUUCUCCCAUCCCCUGUGCGCGGCGCCUAUACCCUCCUCCUCCUCCUCCUCCUCCUCCUCCCUUUUCCAACGCCGCGUGCGGGACGAGGAGCGCGCGAGAGAGAGAGAGAGAGAGAGAGGCGGGUAUACACACGGUAUCCAGUUGAGAAUAUUCCGUGGCAAAAGGGGAUUCUGCAGCCGCGGUGGAAAACACAACGAGCGCGUUCUCUGUCGCGCAACAGGGCCACCCUCUACUCCCCCCUCCCGUUCCCGGUUAAAACGGCCGAGUACUCGUGUUUAGAUAUCGUUAAACCGCAUUUUCGACACUACCAUUAUGUAAAGCACGUGGUAGAGGCCGAUAAGUCGAACAAUGGGCGCGCGCGCUCCCGCCCAAACGGGACGGGUUACCGACUUUUCCACGCUUCGUUUCCAUUUCCACUCCCUCUCUCUCUCUUUCUCUCUCUCUUCUCGUGCUUCGUAGAAGCGAGUUCGAUUAUAGAUUAAUAUUCUUUCUUCUGUCGGGAUUAUUUUCGAAAUCUUGCGAUUAUGAUGAUAUUCGUACGAUACCUUUCUUUCCCUCUCUUCUCGUAGAAGGUAAAGCGAGUUAUUUUUUUCCUUUUUUAUCUCGAGCAAGCCGAUGAUUUUCGAAAUCUUAUGAUUAUGAUGAUAUUCGUACAAUACCUCGUGCUUCGAUUUCAUAGAAGGUAAAGCGAGUUACUUUUUCCUCUUCUAUUGGGCCAGACAAUGAUUUUCGAAAUUUUGUGAUUAUAAUAUUCGUAUAGUAGAUUUCCACCUCUCUCUCUUCUCGUGCUUCGAUUUUAUAGAAAGUAAAGUGAGUUAUUUUAUCGGCCAGUGAUUUUUCAAUGAUUUUGAAAAUUUUGUGAUUAUAAUAUUGGUAUAGUAGAUUUCCACCUCUCUUUCUUUCUCUUCUCGUGCUUCGAUUUCAUAGAAGGUAAAGCGAGUUAUUUUUUCUCUUUUAUCGGGCCAGCCGAUGAUUUUGGAAAUCUUGUGAUUAUAAUAUUCGUGUAGUAGAUGUAGAUUUCCACCUCUCUUUCUUUCUCUUCUCGUGCUUCGAUUUCAUAGAAGGUAAAGCGAGUUUGAUUAUAGAUUAAUAUUCCUUCUUCUACUUUUAACGGGCCAGUCGAUUAUUUUGGAAAUCUUACGAUUAUGAUGAUAUUCGUACAAUAUCUCUCUUUCUCUCUCUUCUCGUACUUCGAUUUCAUAAAAGGUAAAGCGAGUUACUAUUUCGUUACUAUUCUUCUAUCUCGAGCAAGCCGAUGAUUUUUUGGAAAUCUUGGGAUUGUCGACGAGAAAGUUGAUGAGGGAAUAGGAUGAAUGUAAAGCGUUAUUAGAUGUUGUUAUUAUCGGGCGGAUUUUUUAGACGGGUGUAAUAAUAAUAAUAAUAGUAAUUGCUAUUAUUAUUAUUAUUAUAAGGCGGAAAAGGAAACUUUCUAUCGUUUCGUCGAAACGAUUCCACAGCCGCGGAUCCCCGUUAGCUCGGCUCCCCCCUCCGCCAGGGCCGUACGGAACAAAAUAAUACUUUUUACUACCGCGAUCUUUACGAUCCGUACUGUAUCGAGUAUAAAGAAGAUAAUAAAGGAAGACGCACGUGGAUAAUGGCUGGUAUCAUGCGCGUAUUACUUGGUGCAUUACCAUUUUUAUUGCCGACUUUUUUUUUUCCCUCUCUCUCUUUCUUUUUUUCUUUUACGAUCUACUUCUCCCACGAGUUGGCGCGCAUGCUUUCCCCUCUCUCCCUUUCUCGUUCUCCCUCGAUCCGUCCGAUCGUGGCAUGCACCCUCGAUCAAGGUCGAAUUUAUUUCACUUUUCUUUUUCUCUCUCUCUCUCUCUCUCCGGAAGUUGGAGAGAACAUUUACGCGCGUUUAUAAGAAUAGUUUAGCGUACGAAAAUGCACGGAUCGUUGUAUUUCCGAACGGUGUGUAAAAAGAUCGGUGUCAAAUUUCGACCAGAUCCCAUUUCCAAGAUUGAUUAUAUAUAUAUAUAUCGAUUCGUUUUUCGUAUAUCACGUACAUUGUUGGAGAGUUAUUAACGUUUUUAUUUUUAAUUCGACGAGGAAGGAUUAUCAUCGAUCGAUUCGAUCGUUUGUAAUAUCUUGGCCGCGUAAUUUAAAAUCCAUAAAUAUUAAAAAAAGAAUUGGGGGAUAUCCCCCUCCCGAAAAAAAGUUAAACCCGUUUUUUUUUCUUCUCUCUUUUCCACGUCCGUCGCAACGUUACGUUACGUUACGUUACGUUACAUUACGUCACGUUACAUUGCAAGACAUCGGAGAGAAACAUAAGCCACCUGUGUAUAUCCUCUCCUAUAUCUUAUAACGAUAUAACGCUAUGACAGAUGUAAAAUAAAAUGAAAAAGAGAGGAAAAAAACGAACGUAACGUUGUUAAUAAACAUGGACAAUAAUUCCAUGUUCCCAAAGCGGACAAAUAUUAAAAACGGUAAAACAACGGUCGUAAGUGUAAGCAUAGACACACACACACACACACACACACACACACACACACACACACACACACACUUUCCUCCUCUCUUGGAACAUCCUCCUCUCUUUCGUUCCAUUAUUCUAACGUCAUCGAGUACUCGAGAGUGGCUCGUUUCCGCGGAGAGAGAGACUUCGACCGGAUUUUCUCGUUUCAAGGUGCCGGCACGCGCGCAGAACUCGUUUGACGCGUGGAAUCAUUGGAACGUUAACGCGCGGCCAAUCAUCCUUAUCAUCGUGUUACGACGUAAUUACCGUGUCGUAAUGGGGAACGUUUGUCGCUUUCGAUUUCGUACGUUGACCUGGAACACGCUUUAUUAAUCGCCGCGCGGAUAUCUUUCUUUCUUUCUUUCUUUCUU
RNAcentral lists this long non-coding RNA (6731 nucleotides) under Apis mellifera (honey bee). RNAcentral describes it as "uncharacterized LOC107964080". Lineage: Eukaryota; Metazoa; Arthropoda; Insecta; Hymenoptera; Apidae. The record is from RNAcentral.